GCCGUUUUGUCAACGGCAGUCUCAAUAGAGUGCCCGGCCGAACCGCUGGCAACUAUUGAUAAGGGUUGCGCUCGUUGCGGGACUUAACCCAACAUCUCACGGCACGAGCUGACGACAGCCGUGCAGCACCUGCACAGGCUCCCUUGCGGGUCCCUUGGCUUUCACGGUUCUACUACCUACAUGUCAAGGCCAGGUAAGGUUCUUCGCGUUGCAUCGAAUUAAGCCACAUACUCCACCGCUUGUGCAGGCCCCCGUCAAUUUCUUUGAGUUUUAAUCUUGCGACCGUACUUCCCAGGCGGCUUGCUUAACGCGUUAGCUCCGCCACAAGAGGGGUCGAUUCCUCUUACAGCAAGCAAGCACCGUUUAGGGCUAGGACUAC
This 379-nucleotide unclassified non-coding RNA is filed under the name uncultured Verrucomicrobiae bacterium. RNAcentral describes it as "contains 16S-23S intergenic spacer region". Lineage: Bacteria; Pseudomonadati; Verrucomicrobiota; Verrucomicrobiia. The record is from RNAcentral.